UGCAGAAGAUCGCCAUGGAGAUGAACUUGUCUGAAACUGCUUUCAUCAAACUUUUAGGCAAGUCGGAUAGUUUCAAGGGAAGUAAUACGUUUGGUUUGAGGUGGUUCACUACAAAAGAAGAAUUCAAAUUGUGCGGCCAUGCUACAUUGACAUCAGCAGCUGUUUUGUUUGGAAAAUUGGACAACAAACAGGACCGUAUCGUGUUUAAGACUCUGAGUGGGGAUUUGAUUGUUAAACGUGAGGGGGAGUGGAUCCACAUGGACUUCCCCGUUGGCGCCGCUGUGAAAGAGGCGUGACUUCCGUCUGCUGGUGGGCACCCCUGGCGACCCCGACAAACCGUUCCCCCACCCAGUCAUCUGGCACAGUCAGUCAACAGAAUAUGUGGGUAACAACACGUAUGUGGUAGAGUUUGAAAACCCCGAGGUGGGAUGGAGAGCCUUCUUUAUACAGCUGACGUUCCGUGGUGUCAACGACUCUGUGCUUGAGUUCACAACGGAGAGCCAGAUCAUCCCCGAUACCUUCCCCUUCCCUGACUGCAGUGGAGAAAGUUGCCGAGGGACACUUGUCUGACCAGUGAUAAUGUCAUAGUGUUUCAACUAUUUCUUGUCGACCUGUUUGCUUUGUGUUUUAUGUUUAACGCCACAGUCCGCACUAUUAUAGCGGUUUCUAGUCGACCUGUAAAUAUGCAAGCGUACAAACCAGUGACUGAAAUCAUGAGCAACAAUCCACGACAUCUUGGUGCUGUGACACGCAGCAGUCACUGAACCUGACCACUUGAACCAUCAUGGGAUCCUUGGAACAAUUACAUGUUACCAGGAACCUGUUGCUGUCUGGACCCCCACGAUGUGAUGUGUCAGUGCCAUAUACCAUGGUUGUAUUGUCCAUGGACUAGGGGUAUAUUGGAGUGUGCCAACCACAUGGUUAUCGGCCCUUUAGUCUAAACAAUCCACAUGAAAUCGUUAUCUAUUUUUAAUGUACUUAUUGUUCAAAUAAAAGUGUUGGGAAAUGGU
Haliotis rubra (blacklip abalone) is the source of this 1010-nucleotide long non-coding RNA. RefSeq lists it as uncharacterized. The transcript is spliced from 6 exons. Lineage: Eukaryota; Metazoa; Mollusca; Gastropoda; Lepetellida; Haliotidae. The record is from RefSeq and is a predicted model, not a curated record.